AAUGGGCUUUUGUGAAGGGUGGAUAGGGUGGAUUAGGAGUUGUGUGGAAACCGCUUCUAUGUCCGUUUUGGUGAAUGAAAGUCCAACGGUGACAGGCAUAAGGCAAGAUUUAUUCGAAGAAGUCUCUAUAUGUGAUAUUGGGGUCUCCAUUUUACAAUUUUCGGAUGACACUCUAUUCCUUGGCAAGCCAACCGUGAGAAACAUUCUUACAUUGAAGAGUAUUUUAAGGAGCUUUGAAUUAGUGGAGGGGCUAAAUGUGAACUUCCAUAAAAUCAAGAUAGGUGGGGUGGCAUUGGAAUCACAACAUCUUCAAAGUUUGGUGGCCAUUUUGAAUUGUAGAAUAAUGGAGGUACCUUUCACUUUCUAGGGGAUACUGGUAGGUGCGAAUCCAAGACGAAGAGAGGCAUGGAAUCCGGUGAUCUCUAAAGUCAAAUCAAAGCUUGCUAGUUGGAGAGGUAAAUACUUGUCUUUUGGGGGUAGAAUUUUCCAUAUAAAAUCAAUUCUAUCAUCCUUGCCUCUAUAUUUUCUGUCAUUCUAUAAAGCUCCAGUAUGUGUGGUGAAGGAGUUGGAAAGGAUACAACGGAACUUUUAUGGGGUGGACUUGGGGAGGAGAGGAAAACUGCAUGGGUAAAAUGGUCUAAUGUUUGUUUAGCUAAGGACAAAGGGGGACUAGGAAUUAGGGAUAUUUCAGUUUUUAAUAAAACUCUAUUAGGAAAGUGGGGUUGGAGACUCUUAGCGGAACGUGGGGCAUUUUGGGUGAGUGAUGGAAGCAAAAUAUGGGUUGUUGCUGGGCGAGGGGAGGGGGAGAGCUAGUGAUACGAAAGCUAUCUGGUGGAGGGAUAUUCUGAGGGGUUGGUUUAGAAGCAAAGUUCAAAGGGAGGUGGGUCGAGGGGAUGAAACACUUUUUUAGGAUCAUGUCUGGGUAGGUGAGAGUUUUCCUAGGUUGUAUGCUGUUUCCUUGCAAAAGGAAGCACAUAUUAGAGAGUUGGGUCAGCUUGUAAACAAUAGGUGGUGUUGGUCAUUUUCUUGGAGGAGGAACCCUUUCGAAUGGGAAAAGGAAAGUUUGGUACAAUUGCUGGGAUCUAUACAAUCGUUCAGGGGGGGAGGAGAGCCCGGAGGAUCAAUGGAGAUGAAAAGAUGGCACAGGAAAUUCAUAUCGCGUGAAAGAAGUCUAUCAGAACUUAUGUGCAGGUGAGUUGCAAGGAAUACAGCGUGAAGAUGAUGGUAUAUAUAAAUGUAUUUGGAGUGUUAGAGCUCCAUCAAAAGCUCUGGCAUAUACAUGGAGGAUCAUGCAGGAUAGAAUUCAAUCAAGAGGCAAUCUUCUUCGAAGGAAUAUUGCAGUAUUGGAGGGUAACUAUAACUGUCCAAUCUGCAAUUCUGAGUUGCAGACCACUUCUCACGCCUUGUUCGAAUGCACGAUGGUCUAUGAUAUCUGGAUGCAAGUAUACAAGUGGCUGGGGAUCUCAACUGCUCUUCCAAAGGAUCCAGCCACUCACUAGUGGCAACACUUUGGGAUGAUUGUGGGUUCGAAAAGGAGGGAAAAGUGGUGGUUGAUGUGGCUUGCGGUAGUGUGGGAACUGUGGAGGAGGAGAAAUGAUGGAAGUGGAAACUGUCGUAGAGUUAAUUAAAGUUAAUGCAUGGAGGUGGAUAAAAGCAAGACAGAGAUUUCAUGGUGCAGCAUGGUCGGUGGUGUCAGGAACCAUUCUUGCUAAGUUGAGCAUGCAGUUAUGUAGAGGAAGGGUAGAAGACAAUACUUAUUACUGCUUUUUGGUUUAAGAAUACGGCCGUUUUGUAUGUUGGGAGGCAGAGUAUUUAUUGUUUCUAUUAUGGUUACUGGUUGUGGUAAUUAAAGAAUAGAGAGAAACCAGCAUGUAUUCUUUGUUGCAGGAAACUUUAUUAGGGAGGUGGUUUCAUUUUGUAGGAAGAACUUAUUGUGAUUUGGAGUUAGUGUUUAUUUAGUA
Glycine soja is the source of this 1961-nucleotide long non-coding RNA. RefSeq lists it as uncharacterized. The record is from RefSeq and is a predicted model, not a curated record. The transcript is spliced from 2 exons. NCBI's taxonomy places the organism in Eukaryota, Viridiplantae, Streptophyta, Magnoliopsida, Fabales, Fabaceae.